AGCUCCAAUAGCGUAUAUUAAAGUUGUUGCGGUUAAAAAGCUCGUAGUUGGAUCUCGGCGGGCAGGGGGCGGUUCGUUAUCUGACGCUACUGCCCCAUUGCUCGUGUUUCUGACGGAGGUUUGAGGGUUCUCUUUACCGGGUGUCCUCAGGCGCCGUCAAGUUUACUUUGAAAAAAUUAGAGUGCUCAAAGCAGGCUGAAACGAUUGAAUAUCUGUGCAUGGAAUAAUGGAAUAGGAAGUCGUUUCUAUUUUGUUGGUUUUCGGAAAUGGACUUAAUGAUUAAUAGGGACAGCCAGGGGCAUUAGCAUUCAGACGACAGAGGUGAAAUUCUUGGACCGUCUGAAGACUAACUACUGCGAAAGCAUUUGCCAAGAGUGUUUUCAUUAAUCAAGAACGAAAG
This 400-nucleotide ribosomal RNA is filed under the name phytoplankton environmental sample. RNAcentral describes it as "partial small subunit ribosomal RNA". It matches the Rfam family "Eukaryotic small subunit ribosomal RNA", at positions 587 to 989 of the family's 1831-position model. The record is from RNAcentral.